CAUAUUUAUUUGAAUAGAAUCACCAUAGGUAAACAUAUAUAUAGAGCUUAAGGAAUGCAAAGACAACUAAAUCAAAUAAGUUUUGAGAGAUCAAAAAGAUAUAGUCAGCCUCUGGACAGCUUUAAUGUGACGAAGUACACUUAAGAAUAUGCUGCCAAAAACAAUAAACAUGGUUCAGUGCAUGCUGAGAGAUCAUUCAGAGCUUGCUAGAUCAUUUGAGUAGGAAUAUACUAACAGUUGUUCAUGAAACGCGAAAUUCUAAUGCCACUUCAUACUUUCUUCUUACCUAUUGGAAGUAAAAUGCAAGUAUAAAUCCUGAUUCUUUAAUUGCCACAAUACAAAAGUUGAUAAAGGGUACACUCUAAAACUACCUAAAAUAAAGAAAAACACAAACAGUUGAUUAUGUUAGCUAUGCUGACCUAGCAGUUGCACACAGUGACCUGUCUUGGAAAAUUUUCAUCUCUCAGUGGUUUGAAAAAACCAUAAGGUAUUGUGCAUAACAAAACUGCAUAACAAGACUUUUGCUGAAGCAUGAAAACAGAGUAUGCAUCCACAAAGAACUUUUAUGCUAAGUAACACUAAAAAUGGACUUUGGUACAGCCACAUCAAAGGACUUACAAUCAAUUAAAAGCAAUUAGUAAACAAGCAAUAAGAACAGUAAAAGUUCACCUCAGCUUCUCAUUUGUAAUUUCAAUGACAAUAACUAUCAGUUCUUAUUUGCAUCUCCCUUUUCUUCAUCUGAAUCUGAGUCACUUG
This 756-nucleotide unclassified non-coding RNA is filed under the name Hevea brasiliensis (rubber tree). The record is from RNAcentral. Lineage: Eukaryota; Viridiplantae; Streptophyta; Magnoliopsida; Malpighiales; Euphorbiaceae.